CCAUGACUCCCACUGGACAGUAUAUAAACAGAGACCAAGAGCAAUGCUCUAAUCUGCACAUCUGGUAAGACGUCAUCACCUGGAUCCUGGAUCUGCCUUCAGCUGGAGAGUCUUACUCAGGAUCUUCAUCCUGAAAUCAGACUUUUGUUAGAGUCUGGACCUGACCUUCAGCUAAGAAACUUCCUACCACUGCCCUCUGCCUCUACAACCUACCCACCAAGAGAAAACAAAACAGAUGAAAAGAAAAAGAAAAAAUAUAUGGCUAUGGAAACUGAGGUGUAACAAACAGCUUUAUUUGUAAAUGUUGAUUGCAAUGAGUCACUAGUUUGGUUUGAGGCCCCUAGCUUCUUCUACAUUCACUGUCAUUAGGACAACACAGCAACCAACAGAUUGGGAAAAGAUCUUUACCAAUCCUACAUCUGAUACAGGGCUAAUAUCCAAAAUGUACAAAGAAUUCAAGAGAGCCAAAUAACCCUAUUAAAAAAUGGGCUAAGCAAAGAAUUCUCAGCUAAGGAAUAUAGAAUGGCUGAGAAGUACCUAAAGAAAUGCUCAACAUCCUUAGUCAUCAGGGAAAUGCAAACCAAAACAACCCGGAGAUUUCACCUUACACCAGUCAGAAUGGCUAAGAUAAAAAACUCAGGUGACAAGAGAUGCUGGCUACAAUGUGGAAAAAGAGGAACACUCCUCCAUUGUUGGUGGGAUUGCAAACUGGUACAACCACUCUGGAAAUCAGUCUGGAGGUUCCUCAGAAAAUUGGAUAUUCCACUACCUGAGGACCCAGCUAUACCUCUCCUGGGCAUAUACCCAAAAGAUGCUCCAACAUACAACAAAGACACAUGCUCCACUAAGUUCAUAGCAGCCUUAUUUAUAAGAGCCAGAAGCUGGAAAGAACCAAGAUGCCCUUCAACAGAGGAAUUCAUACACAAAAUGUGGUACAUCUACACAGUGGAAUAUUACUCAGCUAUCAAAAACAAUGACUUUAUUCACAGGCAAAUGGAUUGAACUAGAAAAUAUCCUGAAUGAGGUAACCCAAUCACAGAAAAACAUAUGGUAUCCACUCACUGAUAAGUGAAUAUUAGCCUAAAAGCUGGAAUUACCCAAGAUGCAAUACACAGACAACAUGAAGCUCAAGAAGGAUGAAUAAAAUGUGGAUGCUUCACACCUUCUUAAAAGGGGGAACAAAAAUAUUCAUAGGAGGAGAUACAGAGGCAAAGUUUGGAGCAGAGACUGAAGGAACAGCCAUUCAGAGCCUGCCCCACAUGUGCAGGCUCUCUCUCUCUCUCUCUCUAUAUAUAUAUAUAUAUAUAUAGAGAGAGAGAGAGAGAGAGACAGACAGACAGACAGACAGUCACCAAGACUUAAUAACUUAAUAAGAUUGAUGAAGCUAAGAAGUGCAUGCUGACAGGAACUGGAUAUAGAUCUCUCCUGAGAGACACAGCCAGAGUAUGUCAAAUACAGAGGCGAAUGCUAGCAGCAAACCACUGAACUGAGAACAGGACCCCCAGUGGGAAGAAUUAGAGAAAGGAUUGAAAGAGCUGAAGGGGCUUGCAACGUCAUAAGAACAACAAUGCCAAACAACCA
Rattus norvegicus (Norway rat) is the source of this 1581-nucleotide non-coding RNA. NCBI's taxonomy places the organism in Eukaryota, Metazoa, Chordata, Mammalia, Rodentia, Muridae. The record is from RefSeq and is a predicted model, not a curated record.